RNAcentral lists this long non-coding RNA (582 nucleotides) under Homo sapiens (human). RNAcentral's name for it is "non-protein coding lnc-ZNF468-2:3". Lineage: Eukaryota; Metazoa; Chordata; Mammalia; Primates; Hominidae. The record is from RNAcentral.
GCGUGAGUUUCGCUCUGUUUUAUGUGUGCUUCCCAGUCCUGUGGUGCUGCUAUACCGGGGACGUUGAGUCCCCACAGACCUGGAAAUUGCGGCCCCUCUUUCUCAACCCAGAGCAAAUUGAGACGUCCGGGCUGGAGGGCAGUUGUGCGAUCUUGAUUCACUUCAACCUCUGCUCUCCGGGCUCAAGCAAUUCUCCCACCUCAGCCUGGCUGGAGUGCACUGGUGCCAUCUCAGCUCACUGCAACUUCUGACUCCCGAGUUCAAGUGAUUCUUUUGCCUCAGUCUCCCAAGUAGCUGGGACAACAGGGGCGUGCCGAGAAGCCCAGCUAAUUUUGUACUUGUAGUAGAGAGCGGGUUUCACCACGCUGGCCAAAAUUGUCUCAACCUCUUGAUCUCAUGAUCCACCGCCUCACCCUCCCAAAGUGCUGGGAUUACAGGCAUGAGAGUCUCACUCUGUCCUUCAGGCUGUGAGUGCAGUCUCCUGAUCUUGGCUCACUGCAACCUCUGUCUCCUGGGUUCAAGUGAUUCUUGUGCCUCAGCCUACCAAGUAGCUGAGAUACAGGAUUGACUUCUAAAGACUCU